GAUACAAUGUGUAUCCUCAGAUGUUAAGCUCCCAAAUGUGAUGUUCUUCAGCUAUGGCUCAGGUGCUCACAGCAUCAUACCAGCCAAUCUCUAAGCACGCUACAAGACCAUCUAUCUUAAUUUUAAGUACUGCAUGCAUUCAAAUAUAACACCUUCAGUCCUGUAUUCAUCACCCUUUUUGAUUUUAGAACCCUGUUACACUUAAAGUCAUCCCACCGACUGCAAUUUUGCCCUUUUAUCUGUCCGUCCUUCCUUACAGUGUUACAACAUACUCCCUCUGCUUGCAUCACCAACUACCCCAUCCUCAGCUCCAUCAGUCCUGUUCUGAGCCCCCUGUUGAGUUAGUUUAAACCCUCCCUCACGGCUCUAGCAAAGCUGAGGUUAUUGGUCCUCCUCAGGUUCAGGUAAGCCCCUCCUUUUCUGUACAGUGUAUACCUUCCCCAUUGAUCCAGAAAUGUGAAACCUUGCCCCCUUCAGCCAUACAUUCAUCUGUCAAACCAUCCUAUAGAAAUCAUAUCCUCACUGGCACAUGGCACAGGCAGCAAUCCAGAGAUUGCAAACUUGGAUGUCCACCACUACUCAUGGGUGGUCACUCCUGAUUGGAUGAGAUGGUGACAGGAGCCUUAAAUAGACUAACUUGGAGAAAUAACUGAGAGAUUGUGGUGUUUACCGAACUCUUGCUUUCCACAGGACCCAAAGGUUUACAUUUCAUUUGGAAGAGAAAUGGCGAAAGGGUGACUGAUUCUGUUAAGCACCAAACUCAGUUAUUAAAAGAUGGGCGAAUCCAUGUCAUCAGCUGGUUGAAGGACAUAGUAACUGUUGACACACAAUAUCAUUGUCACGUUAUAUCCAAAAAGGGGACUGCAAUGUCAAAUGUGCUCAUCAGUGUUGAAGAUGCUCUUGCUAAAAGCAAAUGGUCAAAGGAACUGAUGAAAUGGAGGAAAGCAGUCGAUGAUCAUGAAAAAGUGAUGCAGGCUUGGAUAAAGUCAUUGGACAGUUGUGAUUGAGAAGAACCCAGAAUGAGAUGCACAAAGGAUUUUUGUUUAAUGAAAAUCAUCUGCCAUUUUCCCACAAACACCAGCAAGCGAAUAAAUUUAACUUUAUCGUGGACAGUAGAGCUCAUUUUUGAUCAUGGACUUAAAAGAAUAAUGCAUAAUUUGCUGAACAUGUAACUUAUAACUGUUACUCGUCAUGUUGAUUCUAAGACUGUUUAACAGUCUGCAAUGAGCUAUAUGCAUGGUUCUUUGAUUCCAAUCCACAGUACCAUAAAAUUGACAUAAUCUGUAGAUCUUGUUACUCAUUAAAUAUGGCACUUUCACAGAAACAGUGGAAACUGAAGUAAUUCACGGUUUACAAGUUACAAUUAUUGUUGCUUUGCAACCGUGAAGUUUGCAAAAGCAUAAACUACAUGCCUUUGUAAAUAAAUCUCUAUGUGGGAUAUUAGUCUUGGUUUCAUUGCUGGUGUAAAAAUAUUAUGAUAAGAGGUGAUUUUACUGGGAAGUGAAAUUCAUUUUCCAACAAAUCCUUUCCCUCAUUGCUGGAGAUUGGAAUCAUUUUAGCAUUCUGGAUUAUUUACUGGUUUUGGACCAGGGAUGUUUGUGUUUAUAAAAUCAAGGAACCUUAUUUACACGGAUUUCCAAAAAAAAAACAAUAACAAACCAUAUAACUAUAAAACUUGCCAUGAUGUUGCAUAAUGAUUAAUGAAAAAGUGCCUUAGUCCUGGAGAUAUCAUGGCCAGAUUGUAACUCCUGCUUUCUCUGAAAAGUUAAACUUAGUCACUACUUGGGUGCCAAUCUUUGGAACUUCUGAAUUUAUGGUGCAUGCCAAAAAUGUUUUGUAUGUUGUAAAGAUAUUUAUUCUUCUAAUGGAAGCUGCAGAAUUAUGAAUGUGAUCCUAUGAAUUUUAAAUAAAGUGCUGAGAUUUUCAGAACUAUUUGAGUCAUCAAUGAUGCAGUUUUUUCGUGAGUAAACAGUU
Molecule: long non-coding RNA, 1974 nt
Organism: Hypanus sabinus (Atlantic stingray)
Lineage: Eukaryota; Metazoa; Chordata; Chondrichthyes; Myliobatiformes; Dasyatidae
Exons: 3
Source: RefSeq, a predicted model, not a curated record